CGGAUGAAGGGAGCUUGCUCCUGGAUUCAGCGGCGGACGGGUGAGUAAUGCCUAGGAAUCUGCCUGGUAGUGGGGGAUAACGUCCGGAAACGGGCGCUAAUACCGCAUACGUCCUGAGGGAGAAAGUGGGGGAUCUUCGGACCUCACGCUAUCAGAUGAGCCUAGGUCGGAUUAGCUAGUUGGUGGGGUAAAGGCCUACCAAGGCGACGAUCCGUAACUGGUCUGAGAGGAUGAUCAGUCACACUGGAACUGAGACACGGUCCAGACUCCUACGGGAGGCAGCAGUGGGGAAUAUUGGACAAUGGGCGAAAGCCUGAUCCAGCCAUGCCGCGUGUGUGAAGAAGGUCUUCGGAUUGUAAAGCACUUUAAGUUGGGAGGAAGGGCAGUAAGUUAAUACCUUGCUGUUUUGACGUUACCAACAGAAUAAGCACCGGCUAACUUCGUGCCAGCAGCCGCGGUAAUACGAAGGGUGCAAGCGUUAAUCGGAAUUACUGGGCGUAAAGCGCGCGUAGGUGGUUCAGCAAGUUGGAUGUGAAAUCCCCGGGCUCAACCUGGGAACUGCAUCCAAAACUACUGAGCUAGAGUACGGUAGAGGGUGGUGGAAUUUCCUGUGUAGCGGUGAAAUGCGUAGAUAUAGGAAGGAACACCAGUGGCGAAGGCGACCACCUGGACUGAUACUGACACUGAGGUGCGAAAGCGUGGGGAGCAAACAGGAUUAGAUACCCUGGUAGUCCACGCCGUAAACGAUGUCGACUAGCCGUUGGGAUCCUUGAGAUCUUAGUGGCGCAGCUAACGCGAUAAGUCGACCGCCUGUGGAGUACGGCCGCAAGG
RNAcentral lists this ribosomal RNA (831 nucleotides) under uncultured Pseudomonadales bacterium. RNAcentral's name for it is "bacterial SSU rRNA". It matches the Rfam family "Bacterial small subunit ribosomal RNA", at positions 67 to 893 of the family's 1533-position model. The record is from RNAcentral. Lineage: Bacteria; Pseudomonadati; Pseudomonadota; Gammaproteobacteria; Pseudomonadales.